UUCUUCUCUCACUGCCUCAGCAUAGAAAUUUCCCAGCGUCACCCUGUCUUCCAACUGAACCCUCUCUCUCAAUUCUCAGGGUUUUCUCACUGUGAGAAACCCCUUUAUCUUUCUCGAUUCCUCGGGUUUCCGAGGAGAGGAUUCGCGCCCCGGGAGCAGAAAGGGUUUCCCAAUGGUGUCUUGAAAUAUUUUGGGUCGUGUCUGUUCCUUUCUUCGGCAUUUUGGGAGAAAGAAAAUGCUGAUUUUUGGAAGCUCUGAAUGCGGAAAAUAACGGAAGUAUUUUUUUAGCUCUGGGUUUCUUUUGGUUGGAAGCAAGUCUGUGCCUGGUCGAGCUAGAGUUGCUGACGUGGAUACUGACUUUUGGUAUUAUUUCCAUGGUUUGAUUUGAAAACGAGAGGGGGGAGGGGACAUGGAAGGGGAUGAGCAUCAUCAGGUCGUUUUAGCAUGCAGUGUCUGCGGGGCUCUUUUCUCCAUCCUAAGUCCACUCAGUGUUUGGAUUCUGUGGGCCGUAAAUUGGCGGCCUUGGAGGAUAUAUAGUUGGAUAUAUGCAAGAAAAUGGCCAGAAAUUAUCCAAGAGCCCCAAUUAAGUGCAGUCUGCAGUUCUCUAUCUAUAUUUGCAUGGUUGAUUGUUCUUUCUCCCAUUGCAGUUGUAAUGGUAUGGGGAAGUAUACUUAUUGCACUUUUGAGUCGAAAUAUAAUUGGAUUGGCUGUAAUAAUGGCUGGCACAGCUCUUUUGUUGGCCUUCUAUUCUAUAAUGCUUUGGUGGAGAACACAAUGGCAAAGCUCACGGGCAGUUGCUUAUCUUCUUCUCCUGGCUGUAGCUUUACUUUGUGCAUACGAACUUUGCGCUGUUUAUGUCACAGCUGGUGCAAGUGCCUCUGAGCGAUAUUCACCAUCUGGAUUCUUCUUUGGUGUGUCUGCUAUAGCACUAGCAAUCAACAUGUUAUUCAUUUGCAGAAUGGUUUUCAAUGGAACUGGAUUUGAUGUGGAUGAUUAUGUGCGGAGGUCUUACAAAUUUGCAUAUGCUGAUUGUAUUGAAGUGGGUUCUGAUGCUUGCCUACCUGACCCGCCAGAUCCAAAUGAGUUGUACAUGUGGAAAUCCAGUAGGGCUUUACAUCUAGGGCUCCUCUAUGUUGGUUCACUGCUUGUACUUCUUGCGUACUCCAUCUUAUAUGGUUUGACAGCCAAGGAAGCACAUUGGUUGGGGGCAAUAACUUCAGUUGCUGUUAUUGUUCUAGAUUGGAAUAUGGGAGCAUGCUUGUUUGGGUUUGAGCUCCUCAAAAGUCGAGUGCUGGCAUUGUUUGUUGUUGGAAUGUCCAGGAUUUUUCUUAUCUGCUUUGGAGUGCAUUACUGGUACUUGGGACAUUGCGUAAGUUAUGCUUUUGUAGCUUCAGUAUUAUUGGCUGCUGCUGUUUCUCAUCAUCUAUCUGUCUCAGACCCCUUGGUUGCAAGAAGAGAUGCUUUAAGAAGCACUGUAAUGCGCUUACGCGAAGGAUUCCGGCGAAAUGGACAAAGUAGUUCUUCAGGCUCUUCUGAAGGUUGCGGAUCCAGUGUGAAACGUAGUAGCAGUAGUGUUGAAGCAGGUCAGCAUGGUAGUGCUAUCGAGGCUAUCUGCAGAAGUAACUCACAUUUUGUUAAUGUUGGUAGCAAUUGGAGUAAUUGGCUUCUUGGUCGCUCCCGUAGCUGCCAAGAAGGUGUCAAUUGUGACAGGAACAUAGACAGCGGCACGGCAAGUUUAGCAUUUCGUAGCAAUUCAUGCCAUUCCAUUGUUCAGGUUUCUGAAAUGGUCGCAGCAUCUGCUGAUAGACAUUUUGAUCACAGUAGUUCACUGCUUGUUUGCUCUAGCUGUGGAUUGGAGAGCCAAGGCUGUGAAUCAAGCAGAUCAGUUGCUACUUCAACAAAUCAGCAAGCAUUGGAUUUGAAUUUAGCUCUAGUUUUCCAGGACAGGCUACAUGAUCCUAGGAUCACAUCUAUGUUGAAGAGAAAACCAGGACAAGUAGAUCAUGAGGUGAUUAGUCUGCUAAAGGAUAAAGGUCUGGAUCCAAAUUUUGCUUUCAUGCUGAAGGAGAAGGGUUUGGAUCCUAGAAUUUUAGCAUUAUUGCAGAGAAGUAGUUUAGAUGCUGAUAGAGAUCAUCAAGAGGCUACAGAUGUUGCUGUCACUGAUUCAGAUAGAAUGGAUACUAUUGUCCUGAAUCAAAUAUCUUUAUCAGAAGAACUUAGGCGCCAGGGUUUGGAAAAAUGGCUUGACCUUUCCAGGCUUAUAUUGCACCAAAGUGUUGGCACCCCAGAGCGUGCUUGGAUCCUUUUUACUUUUGUCUUCAUCAUAGAAACAGUAACUGUGGCAGUUUUUCGCCCAAAGCCUGUUAAAAUUAUAAAUGCUACACAUGAGCAGUUUGAAUUUGGUUUAUCUAUUCUGCUUCUCUCCCCUGUUGUUUGUUCCAUCAUGGCAUUUAUCUGGUCUCUUCAUGCAGAAGACAUGGCCAUGACUUCUGGACUCCGCAAGUGUGGUUUUGUCGCUUGGCUUCUAAGUACUUGUGUUGGUCUUCUUCUCUCUUUCCUAUGCAAAUCAUCUGUUAUACUGGGAUUGGCUUUGACCGUUCCAAUAAUGAUGAUAUGCCUUUCUGUUGCCAUUCCAAUAUGGAUUCGGAAUGGCUAUGGUUUCUGGAUUUCACGAGGGUUUGAGAGUCAUGGAAACGUUCAACUCACUCCAGGGAGGAAGGAGCGCAUUCUCCUUGCUGGCAGCAUGUUGAUAUUUGUCGGGUCGGUUUUGGCUCUUGGAGCGACAGUGUCAGCAAACCCUUUAGAUGAUUUAGGCGACAAGGGAUGGAAUGGAGAUCAGAAAAGCUCUUAUUCUCCUUAUACAACAUCUAUGUAUCUUGGCUGGGCACUAACUUCAGCAAUUGCUUUACUAUUUACUGCUGUGUUGCCUGUUGUGGCAUGGUUUGCAACAUACCGAUUUUCAUUAUCGUCUGCCAUGUCUGUUGGCCUUUUUGCUAUUGUUCUUGUUACAUUCUGCGGUGCAUCAUAUUGGGGGGUGGUGAAUUCUCGAGUGGACAGAAUUCCAAUGAAGGCUGACUUUCUUGCUGCUUUUCUUCCCUUGGUUUGCAUUCCUGCAGUUUUUUCACUCUUUACUGGUUUAUAUAAAUGGAAAGAUGAUGAUUGGAAACUUUCUCGUGGAGUCUAUGUCUUUGUUGGCAUUGGGAUUUUGCUAUUGCUUGGUGCAAUAUCAGCCAUCAUAGUUAUGAUUAGGCCUUGGACAGUUGGGGUUGCAUUUUUGUUGGUUGUUCUUCUUGUUGUACUUGCAAUUGGUGCUACUCACUACUGGGCUUCAAACAAUUUCUAUUUGACAAGAACUCAAAUGCUCUUAGUUUCCUUUCUUGCUUUUCUUCUGGCUUUGGCUGCAUUUCUAGUUGGAUUGUUUGAAGAAAAACCUUUUGUUGGUGCAUCAGUUGGAUACUUUGCAUUUCUAUUUCUUCUAGCAGGAAGGGCACUGACUGUGCUUCUUUCACCCCCUAUUGUUGUAUAUUCUCCAUGGGUAUUACCAGUGUAUGUUUAUGAUGCUCAUGCAGAUUGCGCAAAAAAUGUUAGUCACGCCUUUCUUGUUCUGUAUGGGAUUGCUUUGGCAAUUGAGGGAUGGGGCGUCAUUGCUAGUUUGAAAAUAUACCCACCUUUUGCUGGCGCUGCUGUAUCAGCAAUUACUCUUGUUGUCGCUUUUGGUUUUGCUGUUUCUCGCCCAUGUCUGACAAUCGAGAUGAUAGAAGAUGCUGUGCAUUUUCUCAGCAAGGAUACAGUUGUUCAGGCAAUUGCUCGAUCUGCCACCAAGACCAGAAAUGCCUUAUCUGGAACCUACUCAGCCCCUCAAAGGUCUGCCAGUUCGGCUGCUUUGUUAAUUGGAGACCCUACCAUUAUGCGGGACAGGGCUGGAAAUUUUGUACUUCCUAGAGCUGAUGUCAUGAAACUGAGAGAUCGCCUGAGAAAUGAAGAAAUUGCUGCUGGUUUAUUCUUUUUCAGAAUAAAGACUGGCCUGACAUUUCGCCAUGAGUCUUCCACUGAUUACAGGAGAAAAAUGUGUGCACACGCACGUAUUCUGGCUCUAGAAGAAGCAAUUGAUACGGAAUGGGUAUAUAUGUGGGAUCGAUUUGGUGGUUAUGUGCUUCUUUUGCUUGGUUUGACUGCUAAGGCUGAGCAAGUGCAGGAUGAAGUCCGCCUUAGACUUUUCCUUGACAAUAUUGGGCUGUCUGAUUUAAGUGCCAAAGAAAUCAAGAAAUGGUUGCCUGAAGACCGCAGACAAUUUGAAAUAAUUCAAGAAAGUUAUAUAAGGGAAAAAGAGACGGAAGAGGAAAUCUUGAUGCAAAGACGGGAAGAGGAGGGGAAGGGAAAAGAAAGAAGGAAGGCACUUCUGGAGAAAGAAGAGUGUAAAUGGAAGGAGAUAGAAACAUCUCUGAUAUCCUCUAUUCCAAAUGCUGGGAGCAGGGAGGCAGCAGCUAUGGCAGCUGCUGUGCGUGCUGUUGGGGGGGAUUCUGUUUUGGAUGACUCGUUUGCCAGGGAGCGAGUUUCUAGCAUAGCUUGCCGCAUUCGUGCAGCACAAUUGGCUCGCCGAGCAGAGCAGACUGGCAUUCGAGGCACUGUGUGCAUACUUGAUGAUGAACCUAGGAGUGUAGGCAGACAUUGUGGACAGAUCGAUUCAAGUCUUUGUCAACUUCAAAAAGUUAGUUUCUCCAUUGCAGUGAUGAUUCAACCAGAGUCUGGUCCAGUUUGUCUUUUAGGGACUGAGUUUCAAAAGGUCUGCUGGGAGAUCCUUGUGGCUGGUUCAGAACAAGGCAUUGAGGCGGGACAAAUUGGUCUUAGAUUGGUUACAAAAGGUCACAGGUUGACAGCUGUUGCUAAAGAAUGGUGUAUAGGAGCUGCAAGCAUUGCAGAUGGAAGGUGGCAUAUUGUCACGGUGACUAUUGAUGCUGACUUAGGUGAGGCAACUUCCUACAUAGAUGGAGGCUUUGAUGGAUAUCAGAGUGGAUUACCACUGCAUGGGAGUGGUGGCAUUUGGGAACUGGGAACAGAUGUUUGGGUUGGUUGUCGACCACCAACAGACUUGGAUGCAUUUGGAAGGUCGGAUAGCGAAGGUUCUGGCUCCAAGAUGCAAAUCAUGGAUGCUUUUCUGUGGGGAAGGUGCCUGACUGAAGAUGAGAUUGCCAUCUUUCAUGCUGCCACGAGCCCUGCUGAUUAUGACCUGAUUGAUCUUCCUGAAGAUGGCUGGCGCUUGUGGGAUUCACCUUCAAGGGUAGAUGACUGGGAAAGUGAAGAAGCGGAUGUUGAGUUGUAUGAUAGAGAGGAUGUGGACUGGGAUGGGCAAUACUCAAAUGGGAGAAAAAGAAGGUCUGGACGGGAAGGAGUAGCAAUUGAUAUUGAUUCUUUCACCAGAAGAUUAAGGAGGCCUAGGUUUGAAACUCAAGAGGAAAUUAAUCAACGCAUGUUAUCAGUUGAAGUUGCUGUUAAGGCGGCUCUUUUGGCAAGAGGAGAAACAAAUUUCACUGAUCAGGAGUUUCCUCCCAGUGAUCGAUCCUUGUAUAUGGAUCCAAACAAUCCUCCUCCAAAAUUGCAGGUUGUUUCUGAGUGGAUGAGACCAACUGAUGUAGUGCAAGAGAGCUGCACAGGUUCUCAGCCGUGUUUAUUUUCUGGUUUUGUAAAUUCUUCAGAUGUUUGUCAGGGUAGGUUAGGUGACUGCUGGUUUCUAAGUGCUGUUGCUGUUCUUACUGAGGUGUCUUGCAUAUCAGAAGUCAUAAUCACGCCAGAGUAUAAUGAGGAAGGGAUCUAUACUGUUCGUUUUUGUAUUCAGGGUGAAUGGGUCCCUGUGGUGGUUGAUGAUUGGAUUCCCUGUGAGUCACCUGGAAAACCAGCAUUUGCUACCAGUAGGAAGCAUAAUGAACUCUGGGUCUCUAUCUUGGAGAAGGCUUAUGCCAAGCUUCAUGGUUCAUAUGAGGCAUUAGAAGGUGGGCUUGUCCAAGAUGCACUUGUGGACCUCACAGGAGGUGCAGGGGAAGAGAUUGACAUGAGGAGUGCUCAAGCACAGAUUGAUCUGGCCAGUGGAAGAUUAUGGUCGCAGUUGUUACACUCUAAGCAGGAAGGCUUUCUGCUUGGUGCUGGGAGUCCAUCAGGCUCAGAUGUACACAUCUCACCUAAUGGAAUUGUUCCAGACCAUGCUUACUCAAUAUUGCAGGUAAGAGAAGUAGAUGGCCACAAGCUUGUUCAGAUUCGAAAUCCUUGGGCCAAUGAAGUUGAGUGGAAUGGCCCUUGGUCUGACUCGUCACCUGAAUGGACAGACAGAAUGAAGCAUAAGCUCAAGCAUGUUCCUCAGUCAAAGGAUGGGAUAUUCUGGAUGUCAUGGCAAGACUUUCAGAUCCACUUUCGCUCUAUUUAUGUUUGCCGGGUGUACCCACCAGAGAUGCGUUAUUCCGUCCAUGGACAGUGGCGUGGCUAUAGUGCUGGUGGCUGCCAAGAUUAUGAUUCAUGGCAUCAAAAUCCACAGUUCAGGCUUCGACCAACAGGUCCUGAGGCAUCAUCAUUCCCAAUUCAUGUAUUUAUCACCCUCACCCAGGGUGUGAGUUUUUCCAGAAAGACCAAUGGUUUCAGGAACUAUCAAUCUAGCCAUGAUUCUUCCAUGUUUUAUAUUGGAAUGAGAAUACUCAAGACACGUGGUUGUCGCGCUGCAUACAAUAUUUACCUGCAUGAAUCAGUUGGUGGGACGGAUUAUGUCAACUCAAGAGAAAUAUCUUGUGAAUUGGUCUUGGAACCUUAUCCUAGGGGAUACACGAUAGUUCCUACAACUAUCCAACCCGGAGAGGAGGCACCAUUUGUUUUGUCAGUUUUUACCAAAGCAUCAAUAACUCUAGAGGCCAUAUGAUACACAGUCCAGAAUUUUGAAGUGGUUAUUAUUUUGUAGCUAUGGAUCAAGGCUGCUUCAAGGCUCCAUACGUUUGGGGUCACUCGUGCCUGCAUGCCUCCAUGCAUGUCAAAUUUUUCCACGAAGUGGUAGAACACAUGGAUUUAUGGAUUUGCUGCCCCAGAUGCUUAUUGGGACAACUGGACAAUAUUCUGGCAUUUUCUGAAGGAAAUGUGAAUCUGAGCCUUAUCGAUAGAUUGCAGCAGCAUGGACCCAUUGAAUCAAGUGAUGCAGUAGCUUUACUCUUCUUCCAUGAUAACGUCCAUAUCCGUACUCAAGGGCUAUGCAGCAGAAAGCAUAAAUGGCUGAAUGAUCUUAAUGUUUCAAAGGUGCUGCACAUACACCAGUACAUGCAAGGGGAUGUGGAGAGAAGUCGGUUUUCACAACAGCUCCAUGGUUGACUCGAGUCUUGACCCAUCGUCAGACGGCACUAUUUGCUGAGCUUAUAAAUAGAAGCAGGUUGAAGAAAAGGGCCCCAUUCAAGUUUGUGUUGUUAUUUGUUGUGUCUAGCAAAUAGAAAAGCAAUGAAAAUAGGAAAUUAGCAAACUAGAGAUAAUGUAGUGUUCAUCUUUCAGUGAGCACAAUAAAAGGGGCGUUGUAGCUGGAGUGUGAAUGGUUUCAACUUCCAGCUGCAGUUUUGUAGCUCCCAGGCUGUCAAUUAAUUGUUCGAGUUUUUUUUUUGUGUUUCUGUUCUUUUUGAAUGUAAUCCCUCGUCUAAUGGGUUCUAGUGGGAUCCUCUUCACCCUU
This is a non-coding RNA of Elaeis guineensis (African oil palm), 7684 nucleotides long. Lineage: Eukaryota; Viridiplantae; Streptophyta; Magnoliopsida; Arecales; Arecaceae. The record is from RefSeq and is a predicted model, not a curated record.